UCUUUUUCCUUCUCUCCCUCUCUUUUUCUCUCUCUUUCCCCCGACUCUCUCUCUCUCUCUCUCUCCGUCUCCCCGAUUAACUAAUCGAUUGGCCAUGCCCUGGCGGCCAAACAGUGACACAUGCCGGUCAGCAUGGAAGCCUACAAUCGGUAGAUCCUGGUGACCAAGUCUCGGGUCGUUUGGCCAGCGAAUGCAUGGGGAUCGAUGCUCCAACGUCAGAGGCCAGCGUCCCUCCACUUGUUAGUUUUUUGGUGGUCUGUAGCCAAUUUCUCAAUCCUCUCCCUUUAAUUUGAGCCUCUCGAAGCUGAUGGUGACCUCCAUUUACCUCAAUUCGAACUCGACUAUGGCGUACAAAGAGGAAGAAUUUGGCAACGGUUUUCGAUGGAAAAUUCAGCCACCACCAGCGAGGUCGAGCCUAGCAAAGGGGCAACAACCUAAUUCAGUUAAUGAAUAGCCUAGUAUUGUAUUUCUGCUAUCUACGAGAUCAGCAAGUUGGAUGACCACUCCUGACCAUAUUGGUAGCAAUGUACUUGCAACAGCUGAUAUCAUGGGAUCGUGUAUUAACAUACUAUAUGGUACAUUAGGUGUAUCUUCACUACGAUUGUGCAGGUUAUGUAAUAUAUUUAUCAAUUUUAAUUUUAUUUUAUCUAUUUAUGAUUUUGAUUUUUAUUAUUAUUAUUAUUUGUAUUAAUAUUUAUUAUUGAUAUUAUUAUUAUUAUGAUUUAUUAUUAUUA
Molecule: long non-coding RNA, 734 nt
Organism: Ziziphus jujuba (common jujube)
Lineage: Eukaryota; Viridiplantae; Streptophyta; Magnoliopsida; Rosales; Rhamnaceae
Exons: 2
Source: RefSeq, a predicted model, not a curated record